This 2048-nucleotide long non-coding RNA is filed under the name Lynx pardinus (Iberian lynx). Lineage: Eukaryota; Metazoa; Chordata; Mammalia; Carnivora; Felidae. The record is from RNAcentral.
AGGGGAGGGUGGGUGAUGGGUAUUGUGGAGGGCACCUUUUGGGAUGAGCACUGGGUGUUGUAUGGAAACAAUAAAUUUGACAACAAAUUUUAUACUUAAAUUAAAAAUAAAUAAAUAAAAUCCUAAGGAAAUAAAUAAAUAAAUAAAUGAAGGAAUGAUGUUUUCGAGUAAAAUUGUCAGUUGAAAUUGACAAAUUCCACUCCAGGUGGAAAAAUUUCAGCAAAACAGCACAACGCAACGAGAGAUCCACAGCAGUGCUGGUCCAACAGAUGUGACUGCGGAAAGACAUGAAGUGAGGAGAAAAUAUCACAUAUUGGAGAACAGUAAGUAUCGAGGUCUCAUUUUUCUGAACAAGACCUGGGAAUAAAACUUUUUGAUUUCUUUCCUUUCGUGGCUUUGACAUCAGACACACAGCCACCUCCAUGUGCUAGGCUGAAGCUAGAAGGCUAUCAUCAGUCAGUGCACUCCUGAGUCUUCCCAUUAGACGGCUGCUCCUUUUCAGAGAGCUGGGCUGCAAAGAUGUGGGUGGUUGUGCAAACAGUUGGAUGGGUGACCAGAUGUACGUCCACUGAAUCUGUGCCCCAAGAGCUAGAUGACUGUGUCAAUGGAAAGGUCUAUCUUAAUGAGUGAAGAGACGACAUUGCCCAAUGCAUAUAUUUAAAAUCUGGCACAACAAGUAACUAAGUUCGCCAUUCGCUACAUUGAACCAAACUGGCUCUACACUUGUACAUCUGUGAGUCUUUCACACCAUAUGUCCCUAUGUUCCACUUUAACUUAAUUUUCUGAUGCCAGUAUCUUAGAAUAGGAACAAUUGAAGUCAAGUUUUAUUUGGGGGAAAAAAAAACCUUCCAGGAGUAUGUAGAAAUUCAUAAAAAUAGAGAGAAGACAAAUUUCUAUUUAGAAUAAUGUUGACUCGAAGACUCGAAGGUUUUUUCUCUUUUUGAAAGUGUAAUUAACACUGUUUUCCCUUGACAGUUGUACUGAAUUGAAUUAUAAUGCAAGGAUUAUCCUGGUGCUCAGCCCAGCCCAGGCAGUGAUCCAAGAAGGCACCCAAGUAGUUAUGGCUUAGAAGUUGAAUGAGCUUAUUCCAGGGAAUACAUGACCGUUGAAUUAGGAGACAGUUACAAUUAAAGCUAAGGCCAUAUUAAUCCAGUGCCUUUAACUUCAUGGAUAUUUAUUCCUGGAUGCAGCCACGGAUACAAUGAAGUAACCACGUCUGCCUUAAAAUUGUCCUUAGCUUGCCUAACUUCAGUCUUUCUCCUGUUCCUAGGCCCUGAGCUCCUUUCAUAGAGUAUUUACUUUAGAAAACUUGGAAUUACAAUGCUUUCUUUGCCCCUUUGUGUUAAAAAUCUUUUUAAAGCCCACUAGCCAGUUUUAUAGCCCAGCACUGUAUUUCUCAAAGACCUAGCAGCAUAUCUUUGAAAUGUAAUCUAAUCAUCAAGGAAGCUAGCACUCCCAGCUCCCAGUUUCUGUGGGAGAGGAGGAACCUAAAUUUGGUGGGUGCCUUGCUCUAACUUAUACAACUACCUGCUGUUUGAAGAUAGGAGAAAGUUGUCUUUUCCUUUGUAUAAAUCCAGCUAGCAAACACAUAGGGCCUACUAUCUCUCCCUCAUCCCAGCUCUAAAAAUUUUUCUGUUCUUUGUUUCAGCAGAGUGAAGUGCAAAAUGAAUAACCUUGAAUCAGGUUUUCCUAGUCUGUUUAACUUUGGUGAAGCUUUCGCUUCAACAGAAUCUAAAACUGUGUUUUCUAAUUGAAUGGAUGUUGGUACCUCACUGUGUGAGGUAAGAAGACAAGGGACAGCUAAAACAAAGGGCACACUAGGGCUCCGGGGGAUCUGUGAAUGUGAAUGAAGCAGAUGGCCUUGAAACAAGAGGAGCACGUGGUCAGUGGAGAGAUGAGAAAAGCAAAGGAGAAUGGGGCGGAACACAUGUUCAACUGCACACAUUCAAACUGGACACUUGUCAACGAUUUGUGCUUCUUUUGAGUUCCUGUAUGAUUAGAAGACAGUGAUGUGAUCUGGAAAAUGGAUAAUAAAUUAUUUAGUAACA